RNAcentral lists this long non-coding RNA (507 nucleotides) under Elaeis guineensis (African oil palm). RNAcentral describes it as "long non-coding RNA (EGUI_LNC020590)". The record is from RNAcentral. Lineage: Eukaryota; Viridiplantae; Streptophyta; Magnoliopsida; Arecales; Arecaceae.
CAUUAUAGAUUUUAUAUUUAAAUAUCUUUUAUCUAGGACUAGUUAGCCCUCUUGAGUCAAAAUUAUCCAAUUCUGAAGAUAUUCUCCUAUUCAAUAAUUAUCACGAUUCUAUUUGACUUACUCAAUUUUUGAUAGCACUCGAAGAUGACUUUGAGCCAGUUAGGGCAUCUAUCUUGUAUUGAACUCUUUUACCAUCUAUCAAUACCAUUUUUGUAGAAUUGAAAUAUGAAAAAAUAUGCCUCUGUAAUAUGCAUUUUUAGAAGCAAGACGGUAUUUUAGUCAUGACUUUCUUAGUACAUAAUAGAAAAUUAGGCAACUCUACUAAAAUAGAUUGUUCGAAUACUUGACGUGCUAACAAAUCUAACUAUUUCUAUGCUUAUUGUUAUACUCAGGGCAUAUUAUUGAUUUUUAUAAAAAUUUCAAUAAAUCUAACUCUUCUCAGCAUAAUACUGCAAUUACUGAUUUUUUUGAAGAUUCUCUAUCUACUUCAAGUCCAUCUAUCGAGCA